AGGGCAGAGGGAGAGAAUCUUCGAGCAGGCUCCCUGUUAAGGGCAGAGCUCAAUAUCAUGAACCAUGAGAUCAUGACCUGAGCAGAAACCAAGAGUCAGAUGCUCACCCAGCUGACUGAGCCACCUAGAUGCACCUAAAAGAAAUUUAAAAAGGGCUACUUGACCAGAACUGAAACCAGAUGAAGAGGAAAUGGAUCUCCAAUUUGAAGUGUGAUAGUUGCUUAAAAGAUCUCUCCAUGAGUGGACAGACAGUGAAGCCACAGCCUCAGAGAUGCUACUUGAUUUUUCCUGUCCUGCUCUGAUGGAUCUUGUAAGAAUGGAGCAAAAGCCAAAAAGUCACUUCAAAUAAACUAGGACACAUUCUAAGAUGGUGCA
Molecule: long non-coding RNA, 375 nt
Filed under: Vulpes vulpes (red fox)
Lineage: Eukaryota; Metazoa; Chordata; Mammalia; Carnivora; Canidae
Description: lncRNA (ENSVVUG00000008598.1)
Source: RNAcentral